This 465-nucleotide ribosomal RNA is filed under the name uncultured bacterium. RNAcentral's name for it is "bacterial SSU rRNA". It matches the Rfam family "Bacterial small subunit ribosomal RNA", at positions 198 to 644 of the family's 1533-position model. The record is from RNAcentral.
GGAGAAAAGCAGGGGAUCGCAAGACCUUGCGCUUUUGGAGCGGCCGAUGCCUGAUUAGCUUGUUGGUAAGGUAAAAGCUUACCAAGGCUUCGAUCAGUAGCUGGUCUGAGAGGACGGCCAGCCACACUGGGACUGAGACACGGCCCAGACUCCUACGGGAGGCAGCAGUGGGGAAUUUUGGACAAUGGGGGCAACCCUGAUCCAGCCAUGCCGCGUGAGUGAAGAAGGCCUUCGGGUUGUAAAGCUCUUUCAGCCGGGACGAAACGGUUACGGUUAAUACCUGUGACUAAUGACGGUACCGGAAGAAGAAGCACCGGCUAACUACGUGCCAGCAGCCGCGGUAAUACGUAGGGUGCGAGCGUUAAUCGGAAUUACUGGGCGUAAAGCGUGCGCAGGUGGUUUUGUAAGUCAGAUGUGAAAUCCCCGGGCUCAACCUGGGAACUGCGUUUGAAACUACAAAGCUAG